AUGGGCUGUUUUUGUUGUGGCCUUGCCUUCGUGGCCGGUUUUUUGCUGCAUGUUGCUGCCGCUCUAAAUCGCCGUAGACAAAGUCAUCUCGCCUCCACUACUAUUGAACCACCCAUAGCCUCUGCUUCUGUGGACCGGCCCUUGACGAGGUUCGUUGACCCAUUCGACUCACCGCUCGCCCGCGGGCUCCAACCCGCCACCAGUCUCCUAAACCGCCGGGCGGUUUAUCCGGCUUCAGCGUCAAAUCCUCUGCUAACUCACCGGGCUGGUUGCCAUGGAGAUAGCGGUGAAACCAGUGCCUUCGCAGGAGAUAAGGACAUACUGCCGGUAAGCGGGCCCGACUAG
This 345-nucleotide ribosomal RNA is filed under the name Triticum aestivum (bread wheat). Its description in RNAcentral is "partial small subunit ribosomal RNA". The record is from RNAcentral. Lineage: Eukaryota; Viridiplantae; Streptophyta; Magnoliopsida; Poales; Poaceae.